Molecule: ribosomal RNA, 481 nt
Filed under: Bacillus sp. 'Blue Ledge 1'
Lineage: Bacteria; Bacillati; Bacillota; Bacilli; Caryophanales; Bacillaceae
Description: bacterial SSU rRNA
Rfam family: Bacterial small subunit ribosomal RNA
Source: RNAcentral
CUUGCUCAGGACGAACGCUGGCGGCAUGCNUAAUACAUGCAAGUCGAGCGAAUGACGAAGAAGCUUGCUUNUUCUGAUUUAGCGGCGGACGGGUGAGUAACACGUGGGCAACCUGCCCUGUAGAUUGGGAUAACUCCGGGAAACCGGGGCUAAUACCGAAUAAUCCAUUUCCUCUCAUGNGNNAAUGUUAAAAGACGGUUUCGGCUGUCACUACAGGAUGGGCCCGCGGCGCAUUAGCUAGUUGGUGAGGUAACGGCUCACCAAGGCGACGAUGCGUAGCCGACCUGAGAGGGUGAUCGGCCACACUGGGACUGAGACACGGCCCAGACUCCUACGGGAGGCAGCAGUAGGGAAUCUUCCACAAUGGACGAAAGUCUGAUGGAGCAAUGCCGCGUGAGUGAAGAAGGUUUUCGGAUCGUAAAACUCUGUUGUGAGGGAAGAACAAGUANGAGAGUAACUGCUCGUACCUUGACGGGACCUC